This 301-nucleotide ribosomal RNA is filed under the name uncultured bacterium. RNAcentral's name for it is "partial 16S ribosomal RNA". It matches the Rfam family "Bacterial small subunit ribosomal RNA", at positions 509 to 807 of the family's 1533-position model. The record is from RNAcentral.
CAGCCGCCGCGGUAAUACGGAGGAUUCAAGCGUUAUCCGGAAUCAUUGGGUUUAAAGGGUCCGUAGGCGGUCUUGUAAGUCAGUGGUGAAAGCCCAUCGCUCAACGGUGGAACGGCCAUUGAUACUGCAGAACUUGAAUUAUUGGGAAGUAACUAGAAUAUGUAGUGUAGCGGUGAAAUGCUUAGAGAUUACAUGGAAUACCAAUUGCGAAGGCAGGUUACUACCAAUUGAUUGACGCUGAUGGACGAAAGCGUGGGUAGCGAACAGGAUUAGAUACCCCAGUAGUCCCUGUCUCUUAUAC